GUCCACAUGGUGUAAUGGUAACAACCCUUGAUUAUGUAUCAUCAUUUCAUGCUGAGUAUCGAGGUGAAGUGGGUUCAAUUCCUACUGUGGACA
Mycena leptocephala is the source of this 93-nucleotide non-coding RNA. Lineage: Eukaryota; Fungi; Basidiomycota; Agaricomycetes; Agaricales; Mycenaceae. The record is from the annotation of a GenBank genome assembly.